This 259-nucleotide ribosomal RNA is filed under the name uncultured prokaryote. RNAcentral describes it as "partial 16S ribosomal RNA". It matches the Rfam family "Bacterial small subunit ribosomal RNA", at positions 524 to 782 of the family's 1533-position model. The record is from RNAcentral.
UACGUAGGGUGCAAGCGUUGUCCGGAAUUAUUGGGCGUAAAGAGCUCGUAGGCGGUUUGUCGCGUCUGCUGUGAAAGCCCGAGGCUCAACCUCGGGUCUGCAGUGGGUACGGGCAGACUGGAGUGCGGUAGGGGAGAUUGGAAUUCCUGGUGUAGCGGUGGAAUGCGCAGAUAUCAGGAGGAACACCGAUGGCGAAGGCAGAUCUCUGGGCCGUUACUGACGCUGAGGAGCGAAAGCAUGGGGAGCGAACAGGAUUAGA